AAAAUUUUAGUUUAAAGAAAAUUUUUCUUUUACACUGAAAAGAUUAAAAUCAUAUUUUAAAAUUUUA
RNAcentral lists this transfer RNA (67 nucleotides) under Rediviva intermixta. Its description in RNAcentral is "tRNA-Val". The record is from RNAcentral. Lineage: Eukaryota; Metazoa; Arthropoda; Insecta; Hymenoptera; Melittidae.